Molecule: ribosomal RNA, 443 nt
Filed under: uncultured bacterium
Lineage: Bacteria
Description: partial 16S ribosomal RNA
Rfam family: Bacterial small subunit ribosomal RNA
Source: RNAcentral
CCUACGGGAGGCAGCAGUGGGGAAUAUUGGGCAAUGGGCGCAAGCCUGACCCAGCAACGCCGCGUGAAGGAAGAAGGCUUUCGGGUUGUAAACUUCUUUUCUCAGGGACGAAGAAAGUGACGGUACCUGAGGAAUGAGCCUCGGCUAACUACGUGCCAGCAGCCGCGGUAAGACGUAGGUGGCAAGCGUUAUCCGGAUUUACUGGGUGUAAAGGGCGUGUAGGCGGGACUGCAAGUCAGAUGUGAAAACCACGGGCUCAACCUGUGGCCUGCAUUUGAAACUGUAGUUCUUGAGUACUGGAGAGGCAGACGGAAUUCCUGGUGUAGCGGUGAAAUGCGUAGAUAUUAGGAGGAACACCAGUGGCGAAGGCGGUCUGCUGGACAGCAACUGACGCUGAGGCGCGAAAGCGUGGGGAGCAAAUAGGAUUAGAUACCCCUGUAGUC